UAGAUAUCCGUCCCUAUGACAUUAGCUAGGAUACUGCAGCGUGGGCUAGAGGUCAGAAAAAGUAACUGAAAUCCAGGUAAUUGGAUCACCUCAUACUUACAACUGAACCCUGAAGACCACCGUGACCAGCUCCACUCCAAGUCCUACAGCAAGACCCAAGUCAAGCCCCAGUAAUAUAGAAGCCAAACAUGUACCCACCCAAACAAUCUGAAGAACAUUAAACACUCAAAAGAGAGACAGACAGAGAGUCAAUGGUUCGUACACAGUCGGGCCGAUCUUUCUUCCACAGGCCCUCGAAGCCGGUGAUGUUGAGUGGUGGACCUUCAUCUGGCACCAGUCUGGUCACUACGGCCCCCACCAUGAGACUCAACACAGGGAAAGCUCCUGGUGAAAACAAACUUUUGCAUGUUCUUCUUCAAAGCCGUCCUCCGAGUACAGCGGUCUGGUCACCACAUACUUCUGCAAUGAGGGUCGGAGCAUUGUGCACCAACACAGCUGCUGGAAGAAGUCCUUCUGAUCUAUGUGUGAUAAACACCUGGCAGAAGACCCAUACUCACACACUAUCGCUGGCUUCCUCUCUCCGAUAAACAAUCACCCCAUCAGUUUUCAGUUGGCAAAUCUUUUGGCACUGCGGAUAUAUGGACCAUAGUAUUUGCUCAGAUCAUUGAUUUCUCAAGUCUAAAGGGAACCUGGGGGUGAUGUUUGACGAUCGGCUGAAAUUCACCUCUCACAUCCUAGCAACCACUCGAACUUUCAAGUAUGUGCUCUACAAUAUCAGGAAAAUCACGCCGUUCCUGUCGGCGCAUGCCUCUUAG
Triplophysa dalaica is the source of this 815-nucleotide long non-coding RNA. RefSeq lists it as uncharacterized. The transcript is spliced from 7 exons. The record is from RefSeq and is a predicted model, not a curated record. NCBI's taxonomy places the organism in Eukaryota, Metazoa, Chordata, Actinopteri, Cypriniformes, Nemacheilidae.